GACGAACGCUGGCGGCGUGCCUAAUACAUGCAAGUAGAACGCACAGUUUACACCGUAGCUUGCUACACCAUAGACUGUGAGUUGCGAACGGGUGAGUAACGCGUAGGUAACCUGCCUGGUAGCGGGGGAUAACUAUUGGAAACGAUAGCUAAUACCGCAUAAUAUUAAUUAUUGCAUGAUAAUUAAUUGAAAGGUGCAAUUGCACCACUACCAGAUGGACCUGCGUUGUAUUAGCUAGUAGGUGAGGUAACGGCUCCCCUAGGCGACGAUACAUAGCCGACCUGAGAGGGGGAUCGGCCACACUGGGACUGAGACACGGCCCAGACUCCUACGGGAGGGAGCAGUAGGGAAUCUUCGGCAAUGGACGAAAGUCUGACCGAGCAACGCCGCGUGAGUGAAGAAGGUUUUCGGAUCGUAAAGCUCUGUUGUAAGAGAAGAACGGGUGUGAGAGUGGAAAGUUCACACUGUGACGGUAUCUUACCAGAAAGGGACGGCUAACUACGUG
Molecule: ribosomal RNA, 505 nt
Filed under: uncultured bacterium
Lineage: Bacteria
Description: partial 16S ribosomal RNA
Rfam family: Bacterial small subunit ribosomal RNA
Source: RNAcentral